This 221-nucleotide long non-coding RNA is filed under the name Mytilus galloprovincialis (Mediterranean mussel). The record is from RNAcentral. Lineage: Eukaryota; Metazoa; Mollusca; Bivalvia; Mytilida; Mytilidae.
GUUUUGGUGAUGGUGAUGUGUUUGUACAUCUUAAUUUAUUGAACAUUCUAGCUGCUUACAAUUAUCUCUAUCUAUAAUUAACUUGGCCCAGUAGUUUCAGAGGAGAAGAUUUUUGUAAAAGAUUACUAAGAUUUACGAAAAAAUGGUUAAAACUUGACUAUAAAGGGCAAUAACUCUUAAAGGAGUCAACUGACAAUUUCAGUCAUGUUGACUUAUUUGUA